This is a transfer RNA of Ramazzottius varieornatus, 72 nucleotides long. It matches the Rfam family "tRNA". Rfam says of the family: Transfer RNA (tRNA) molecules are approximately 80 nucleotides in length. Their secondary structure includes four short double-helical elements and three loops (D, anti-codon, and T loops). Further hydrogen bonds mediate the characteristic L-shaped molecular structure. tRNAs have two regions of fundamental functional importance: the anti-codon, which is responsible for specific mRNA codon recognition, and the 3' end, to which the tRNAs corresponding amino acid is attached (by aminoacyl-tRNA synthetases). tRNAs cope with the degeneracy of the genetic code in two manners: having more than one tRNA (with a specific anti-codon) for a particular amino acid; and 'wobble' base-pairing, i.e. permitting non-standard base-pairing at the 3rd anti-codon position. The record is from Rfam. NCBI's taxonomy places the organism in Eukaryota, Metazoa, Tardigrada, Eutardigrada, Parachela, Ramazzottiidae.
UCCCAAAUGGUCUAGUGGCUAGGAUACCGCCCUCUCACGGCGGUGGCCGGGGUUCGAUUCCCCGUUUGGGAA